AUUGAACGCUGGCGGCAGGCUUAACACAUGCAAGUCGAGCGGAGUGAUGGUGCUUGCACUAUCACUUAGCGGCGGACGGGUGAGUAAUGCUUAGGAAUCUGCCUAUUAGUGGGGGACAACAUCUCGAAAGGGAUGCUAAUACCGCAUACGUCCUACGGGAGAAAGCAGGGGAUCACUUGUGACCUUGCGCUAAUAGAUGAGCCUAAGUCGGAUUAGCUAGUUGGUGGGGUAAAGGCCUACCAAGGCGACGAUCUGUAGCGGGUCUGAGAGGAUGAUCCGCCACACUGGGGCUGAGCCACGGCCCAGACUCCGACGGGAGGCAGCAGUGGGGAAUAUUGGACAAUGGGGGGAACCCUGAUCCAGCCAUGCCGCGUGUGUGAAGAAGGCCUUAUGGUUGUAAAGCACUUUAAGCGAGGAGGAGGCUCUUUUGGUUAAUACCCAAGAUGAGUGGACGUUACUCGCAGAAUAAGCACCGGCUAACUCUGUGCCAGCAGCCGCAGUAA
RNAcentral lists this ribosomal RNA (503 nucleotides) under uncultured bacterium. Its description in RNAcentral is "partial 16S ribosomal RNA". It matches the Rfam family "Bacterial small subunit ribosomal RNA", at positions 30 to 523 of the family's 1533-position model. The record is from RNAcentral.